This 447-nucleotide ribosomal RNA is filed under the name uncultured bacterium. Its description in RNAcentral is "bacterial SSU rRNA". It matches the Rfam family "Bacterial small subunit ribosomal RNA", at positions 355 to 825 of the family's 1533-position model. The record is from RNAcentral.
UCGGGAAUUUUGGGCAAUGGGCGAAAGCCUGACCCAGCAACGCCGCGUGAAGGAUGAAGUAUUUCGGUAUGUAAACUUCGUAAGAAUAGGAAGAAUAAAUGACGGUACUAUUUGUAAGGUCCGGCUAACUACGUGCCAGCAGCCGCGGUAAUACGUAGGGACCAAGCGUUGUUCGGAUUUACUGGGCGUAAAGGGCGCGUAGGCGGUGUGUCAAGUCAGUUGUGAAAUCUCCGAGCUUAACUCGGAACGGUCAACUGAUACUGUCACACUAGAGUACAGAAGGGGCAAUCGGAAUUCUUGGUGUAGCGGUGAAAUGCGUAGAUAUCAUGAGGAACACCUGAGGCGAAGGCGGGUUGCUGGGCUGAUACUGACGCUGAGGCGCGAAAGCUAGGGUAGCAAACGGGAUUAGAUACCCAAGUAGUCCCUGAGCGGGCUGGCAAGGCGCAU